Long non-coding RNA from Olea europaea var. sylvestris, 796 nucleotides. RefSeq lists it as uncharacterized. NCBI's taxonomy places the organism in Eukaryota, Viridiplantae, Streptophyta, Magnoliopsida, Lamiales, Oleaceae. The transcript has 2 exons. The record is from RefSeq and is a predicted model, not a curated record.
ACUCAAAACAACUCAUUUUCCAUUAUUGUGCGUGAGAGCAGAGAACCAAGGAAAACCUGCUGCCUUCUUCCUCAACAAUCGACCACCCCCCGCCACCUAGAACACCAGAUUUCACAACCAUUCGAACCCCUUCACCUCCCUCUUCAAGCUCUUGUCAUCACCUGGCCACGGAGUUGCCCAAAACAGCCCCAAUCAUCACCCAAAACCGCACUACCAGUCACGAUUUUCACCGUAUUUUCACCGUCGUCGGCCACCGUUUCAAGCGCGGACCACCACCACUCUACACCUGUCAACCAGGCGUAUCCAAUACCACCAUGGGUCACCUACAAUUUUGUCUAGAUUCGAGUGAGCUUGUGAAAGUAGUCCGUGAGUUGUGGCAGAUUUGGUCCCAACAAAAUUGAUGAAAUUUUAUUUAUACAAACAAUCAAUUCUACUUUCCAAACAUCAAGAUGGUAACAAAAACAGCUUGAUAUUGGAUCCAUUUCUAAUUUACAAGUUUCCCUUGAGUUUUGCAACAUUAAGAGGCAGCAAUUACCCGUACACUUGUACUCACCUGCUUGGUAGCCACUUCUCCAUCAUGUACAACCUUCUAAAUAGCAAAUAGCAAAUAGCAAAUAGCGUUAGCAACAUGUAAAAAUAGUAGCUAACCAUAUGCUGCUUCUCCUGAUGAUAAUAAGGUGUUCAGCUUUGUUGUAAUUGUUACCGAAGUGGAUAUGUUACAGUCAUGAUAAAACUAACUUAGUUCAUGUUUAUCGAAGUAUAUAAUUGAUUAUAAUUUGAUAUGUAUUUCGUAUGA